GCAGACACAUUCCAGCCAAUCAGCAGCAGACCCUCCCUCCCAGACCCUCCCACCUCCUGGACAGCAUCCAUUUUACAUUCAUUGUGAAGCUGUAUUCUUAGUGAGCUGUCCAGGAGGUGGGAGGGUCUGGGAGGGAGGGUCUGCUGCUGAUUGGCUGGAAUGUGUCUG
Pelobates cultripes (western spadefoot toad) is the source of this 168-nucleotide non-coding RNA. Lineage: Eukaryota; Metazoa; Chordata; Amphibia; Anura; Pelobatidae. The record is from the annotation of a GenBank genome assembly.